Molecule: ribosomal RNA, 211 nt
Filed under: Salmonella enterica subsp. enterica serovar Typhimurium
Lineage: Bacteria; Pseudomonadati; Pseudomonadota; Gammaproteobacteria; Enterobacterales; Enterobacteriaceae
Description: partial 16S ribosomal RNA
Rfam family: Bacterial small subunit ribosomal RNA
Source: RNAcentral
GAUGACGUCAAGUCAUCAUGCCCCUUAUGUCCAGGGCUUCACGCAUGCUACAAUGGCUGGUACAGAGAGUGGCGAGCCUGUGAGGGUGAGCGAAUCUCGGAAAGCCGGUCUCAGUUCGGAUUGGGGUCUGCAACUCGACCUCAUGAAGUCGGAGUCGCUAGUAAUCGCAGAUCAGCAACGCUGCGGUGAAUACGUUCCCGGGGCUUGUACA